AGUGAACGCUGGCGGUAGGCCUAACACAUGCAAGUCGAACGGCAGCACAGUAAGAGCUUGCUCUUACGGGUGGCGAGUGGCGUACGUGUGAGGAAUACAUCGUAAUCUACUUUUUCGUGGGGGAUAACGUAGGGAAACUUACUCUAAUACCGCAGACGACCUACGGGUGAAAGCAGGGGAUCGUCGGACCUUGCGCGAUUGAAUGAGCCGAUGUGUGAUUAGCUAGUUGGCGGGGUAAAGGCCCACCAAGGCGACGAUCCGUAGCUGGUCUGAGAGGAUGGUCCGCCACACAGGAAGUGAGAGACGGCCCAGACACCUACGGGAGGCAGAAGUGGGGAAUAUUGGACAAUGGGCGCAAGCCUGAACCAGCCAUACCGCGCGGAUGAAGAAGGCCCUCGGGUUGUAAAGCCCUUUUGUUGGGAAAGAAAAGCAGCAGGUUAAAACCCCGCUGUUCUGACGGUACCCAAAGAAUAAGCACCGGCGAACUUCGU
RNAcentral lists this ribosomal RNA (491 nucleotides) under uncultured bacterium. RNAcentral describes it as "partial 16S ribosomal RNA". It matches the Rfam family "Bacterial small subunit ribosomal RNA", at positions 29 to 506 of the family's 1533-position model. The record is from RNAcentral.